AUGAACGCUGGCGGCGUGCUUAACACAUGCAAGUCGAACGGUGAAGGCGGAGCUUGCUCUGCUGGAUCAGUGGCGAACGGGUGAGUAACACGUGAGCAAUCUGCCCCUGACUCUGGGAUAAGCGCUGGAAACGGCGUCUAAUACUGGAUACGAGCUGCGAAGGCAUCUUCAGCAGCUGGAAAGAAUUUCGGUCAGGGAUGAGCUCGCGGCCUAUCAGCUUGUUGGUGAGGUAAUGGCUCACCAAGGCGUCGACGGGUAGCCGGCCCGAGAGGGUGACCGGCCACACUGGGACUGAGACACGGCCCAGACUCCUACGGGAGGCAGCAGUGGGGAAUAUUGCACAAUGGGCGAAAGCCUGAUGCAGCAACGCCGCGUGAGGGACGACGGCCUUCGGGUUGUAAACCUCUUUUAGCAGGGAAGAAGCGAAAGUGACGGUACCUGCAGAAAAAGCGCCGGCUAACUACGUG
This 467-nucleotide ribosomal RNA is filed under the name uncultured bacterium. RNAcentral's name for it is "partial 16S ribosomal RNA". It matches the Rfam family "Bacterial small subunit ribosomal RNA", at positions 29 to 507 of the family's 1533-position model. The record is from RNAcentral.